AAACCGUUCAGGGGUAAACCUAAGAAACCCAAAAGAUCGAACGGGGAGAUUCAUCGUCAGCGGCGCUGGCUUCGCGUCGGUGGGCGAUGUUCCGCGGAGCCCUUGCGGGUCCUACCGCGGACACGCUACCGUGCGUCGAUGUCCGGCGCUCGUCGUCGUGCACUUCUCCCCUAGUAGGACGUCGCGACCCGCUGGGUGUCGGUCUACGGCCCGGGUGCGGUGCCUGUCGCGUCGCCGGUAAAACGGCACGCGGCAAACCCCCGGUCGCCCGGCCGGCUGCCCGGCGGUACACGCAUGGUAUCAGGCCGCACUCUUCUCACGUGUGCGUCGAGACCGGCGCAAGCGCGCGCCACGGUACUCGGAGGUUACGGACCUAGCGCCGUCCCCGGUCCUGGCCCGCUGUUGGCUCGCUCGGAACUCCUUCGACAGGCCUGCAAAGUAUAUACCGGUCGGCGACGCUACUGCUUUGGGUACUCUUAGGA
This 482-nucleotide ribosomal RNA is filed under the name Liometopum occidentale. RNAcentral describes it as "eukaryotic LSU rRNA". Lineage: Eukaryota; Metazoa; Arthropoda; Insecta; Hymenoptera; Formicidae. The record is from RNAcentral.